RNA transcript from Malaya genurostris, 4327 nucleotides. It is a transcript of the gene named tetratricopeptide repeat protein 37, with no coding region annotated. The record is from RefSeq and is a predicted model, not a curated record. NCBI's taxonomy places the organism in Eukaryota, Metazoa, Arthropoda, Insecta, Diptera, Culicidae. The transcript has 8 exons.
UUAUGUUACCGUUCUUCUGUACACCGGCAGUUCUGUUGAUUGCAGUGGUUGUAUUUUAUUGUGCUCCAAAAAUUUACUUAUAUGAGUUUUGAUGACAUUAUAUUUUUGAUUUUUAUACAUCAUAAUAACAGUAACAUUAUUUAGUUAAGUAUGUCUAACAAGGAAAUAAAAGGGUUGUUAAAAGAAGCUCGUGAAGCAGUAAGAAGUAAAAAGAUUUCAGAAGCAAUCAAACUAUGUAACAAAAUAUUGAAAGAGGAUAAACAAAACUACAUGGCUCUUUUGCUGAUGGGAGCUUGUUAUCAGGACACGAACAAGACGGAAGCUGCUGAUUAUUUGAGACAAGCACUAGCCCUUAGUAGCGACCCAACAAUAGCACUUCAAGGAUUAGUAAAUUGUGUCACUGAUAGAGAGUUGCCAGACGUAUGUGAACAACUUCUUGAGCUAACACCUGACAAAUUCGCCGAUCUACACAUUAAGUUACUGAGAGUGGCGAAAAAUGAAGUGGAAAUAGAUAAAAUUAUAAAUGUUUUUGAUAAGGAAACUAAAAUUAAUACUGACUUGGAAAAUCGUAUUUCAUCUGCUUACAACUGCCUGCUUAAAAUUCUAAAAGAACCAGCAUUAGAAAGUAAAUACGAAUCUCUAUUAGAACGAGUAUUAGAACACGAGACCAAAGUCGUUGAAGGUCCAUCUUUGCAUGAAAACUUCAAACGCUAUCUAAAACUACUCUAUCGUUUGAAAAUGUAUGAAAAGCUUAUAGUGAACGCAUCUUUCAUGCACGAGCGAUUCCAAAACGAUAUCUAUCCUUUAGAAUGGAUCUGCAAAGCUUAUGCCGAGCAGCUUCUCAAUGAGCAACAAAUGACGAAUCUACUGUCAAACCCUCUGGAGAAAUACUUCGAUGCAGCCAUAAACAUAAACCCAAAAUCAGCCCUAGCUCUAGUUUCUAAAGGUUUACUGCACUACGAAAGAGGAGAAAUGCAAUUAGCUGAAGAGAUACUUAAAGAAACAGAUAACAUCCAGCCUAACUGGAGUAUUUGUCUGAAAGUAUUAGGAGAAUUAUAUAGCCUCCGUAAAGCAUAUGGUUUAGUUGAAGACAUUUAUAGACAGUUGAAGGUUAUCAAUACAAAUUUUUACAUUGCUCUCAUAGAAGAUGGUAGUGUUGAGAAACUUCACGAAGCUUCGUCGUAUAGCGAAGAGUUAUUAAGUAAAAGUAAUGAUUCUAGAGUAUUGUUUUACAGUAUAAAGCUGCAACUAGCCCUUGGUGACAUGAACAAAAUAGAUGAACAGUUCGUCAAACUAAAAGCAUCGAAUAUAACCUCUGUUCAAUAUGACUAUUUGACAGCGUUGCGUUAUAAAGCCGAAGGAUGCCCAGAAAAAGCAGUAGAAUUGUUGAUACCGCAUGAUAAAAAUUGUGAAUGCCUUUUGGAAUUAUCAAUGCUCUAUUACAAAGCUAAAGAAAUUGAUAAAAGCUUCUUGUGCGCACUACAAGCAACUAAACAUGAACCGAUGAGCGCCAAAUGUUUUUAUAUUCUUGGGUUGAUCUACCUCCACAAUGCAGAUAACAUCAGGGCACGCAAAUGCUUAGAGAAAUGCAUUUUUCUUAACCCAUCGCAUAAACAGGCCAUUAUUUUACUUAGUUCCAUGUAUCGUAGUUUAGGCGAAUGGGAUGCUAACGCACAGUUACUGGAAAAAUCGGUACAUAUCUCCAAAGGCUCCGGAUCGCCAUGGGCAUAUCUUUUACUUGCUUUACACCACCUUGGUCAGCAGAAAUAUGAUGAAGCUAUUGCCGCCUUUCGUACGGUGAUUCGUUAUGACGUGAAUAAUACCACCGGAUGGGAAGGAUUAGCUGAUGCAUAUAUGGGUCGUGGUUCCUACACAUCGGCAAUGAAGGUGUUCGAAAAAAUUGCUGAGAAUAAUCCGAAUAAUCCUUAUCCAAAGCUACAGUUAGCUAAUAUUAAAAAUAUUUUGAAACAGCAUAAAGAAGCUGUCAUCUUGUUUGGUGAACUGUUAGCAGACAACGAUAAAUAUUUUCCGGCUGUGAAAGGAGUUGCUGAGUCUCAUGCAGGUCUUUGUUAUCAUUAUUUCGGACAAAGAUUAAUUGGAAGAAGUCACGAUCACGCACAGUUGGCAGUUGAUUACUUUACCAGGGCCAUAAAGAUGAAACCUAAUUUCGUAUGUCUGUGGAAACAGUUGGGUAACAUUCUGGAUACGGUGGCAGAGUUCCCCAAGUCGAAGGCGCAACUUUUGCUGGAUGGAACAUUAGCAGGCGUUUCCCAUCGUAGUGAGGUGAUGCUUGAAGGCGUAAAACUUUUCCAAUUAGCAGGCCGUUGUUACAGUCGUGCAAUCAAAUUAAGAACCGAAGACAGUUUGCUGUGGUACGAACUGGCAGCGAAUCACUACCGACGAGCAAAAUGUCAUGGCGGAAAUCCAGAAGAUGGACAGAACUUGUUCACUUUAGCUGUUGAAUGCGCAAAACAAUCUAUUAAGUUAGAACCAAGUCGAUGGCAGAACUGGAAUCUUUUAGGUGUAAUUUGUGCCUCUAAACAGGUUAACAAUUUAGCUUUAGCACAGCAUUGCUUUAUUGAAGCAAUUUCGGUGGAUAAAAAGACAGCUUCGGUAGGAUGGUCGAAUCUUGGAGUUUUGUAUUUGCUUCAAGGGGAAACAAGUUUAGCCAAUAAAGCCUUUGGCAGAGCUCAGCAGACGGAUACAACUUACAUGAAUGCAUGGAUCGGGCAGGCUAUGAUUGCGGAGCAAAUGGGCCAGGUCGACGAGGCAAUGGAUUUAUUCCGGCAUUGCACCCAACUUGGCUACCAUCCAGAAUCAUCUUUGGGAUAUGCCCACUGGGUUUGCUAUGUACUAAAUGAUAACAAUUACCGAAAAAAUGCACGUUUUCGAUUUGCCAUCGAAAAUAUGUACGCGUUACCGGUUUCACACGACUCCAUCACUUGGCAUUGCACUGAUAAAAACGAGCUUGCAUCUGCAGAAGCACUUCGAUUUUUAGGCUACAUAAGUAAUCGGCUUGGCUUGUGGAGAACUGCAUCAGAGGCUUUCAAGAAAGCGUUGUGCAAAACAACGGGCGUUCAAAAAGAUGAGGUUCUCUGUGAUUUGGGAUGUUGUCUGUUGAAACAAAAGAAAUACGUUGAAGCCGUGGAGUGUUACCAGCAGGUAGGAGAAGCGACAUAUGAAGCUACGGUUGGGAAAGCUUUGGCUCAUUUCAAAGCUGGUCAGUACGAAGAGUCUUACGCUGAGUACGAAAGCGCAUUGAACUGGUUAGCUACUUCAGAUUUAGAAAAGGCGAACGUUUUAAUUGCAAUGUCUGCUAUGGUGUACGCCUUUCAAGGUGAAGCGGAUGCCAAAACGAUUUUAUUUCAAUGCAUUACACUACCCGAACCGCCAGUUUCAGCACUGUUUUCGGCAUGCGCUCUCGGAUUACUACAUAAAGACUCGGUUCUCACUGAGCUGGUUAUAAAAGAGCUGCGAAAGUUUGAAAAUGACCGAACACAUGGUCACCAUGUUGUAUAUCUAGUAUCGCAAUUCUAUUGGACAAACUGUAGUUUGCUCAAUAUGCGGUUCAUACUUUAGGCAGGUGGAGAUUUAUAAAAAUCAUAUUAAAACAAAUCGCUGUACUUAAACAUCACUUUGAACGUGCAACUGGGAUAAAUCACACACGCUUUAUUGACAAUUAUUUUUCUAAGCGGAAAAGACUCAUUCAAGUUUCGAGAACGUACAUCUAUAAAAAACUGCACAUUAACGACUGCGACAGACUUGUAAAUUUUUGUUGGCGUUUCAAAAAUAUUGAAGGAAGAUUUUUCUACAGUCUUGGUCAGUUUUGGUAAUGAUGCUACCAUCUUGGAUACAACUACUACGUCUCCUAUUCUCGCAUUAGUUGAUAUGAAAUAUAGUACGUCAAAAGUCGAAUAUUCUAACUCUCGAAAUUCUGUUACAGGUCGCGAUAUGUACUACAAAUAUCCUGCUGUAGUUUCAAAAACUCUAGAGUUUUUUCAGUUAUUUUCACUGAAACUUAAGCCUGAUAAAGGCACCAGAUCAGUUGCAACAAUAGUAGGUAAACAACAACAACCAGUUCGAACACUUUUAACCAAACUAGCUAAAAUUCAAUAGAUUUUUUUUUUACUUGUAUUCAAACCAAAACUUGCCAUUUAUAAUGGGACGUGGGACGUUUUUGUUAACAUUAUUAAAAAAGUCUUCGUCGGUCGACUUUUCUUCAACGCAACGUCAAAAAUGUUUAAUUCUACUAAUUUAUAUCAGAAGACGAAAUCGUUUCAGUAAGUAACUAGAAUGUCAAAGCUUUUCUUUAACAAAAGAAUUAAAU